This is a non-coding RNA of Phrynosoma platyrhinos (Desert horned lizard), 77 nucleotides long. The record is from the annotation of a GenBank genome assembly. Lineage: Eukaryota; Metazoa; Chordata; Lepidosauria; Squamata; Phrynosomatidae.
UCCAAUGUGGUGUAGUGGUUUGGGCAUUGGACUACAACUCUAAAGGUCAGGGUUCAAUUCCUGACUCAUCCAUGGAU